This is a long non-coding RNA of Hippopotamus amphibius kiboko, 871 nucleotides long. RefSeq lists it as uncharacterized. The transcript has 3 exons. NCBI's taxonomy places the organism in Eukaryota, Metazoa, Chordata, Mammalia, Artiodactyla, Hippopotamidae. The record is from RefSeq and is a predicted model, not a curated record.
GUGUCCCAAACAGAACUCCGGAUAUUUUCACCAUCAACUGGGUCACUCAAAGUCCUUCCCAUCUCAGCAAAUGGCAACUCCAUUCUCCCUGUUGCUUAGGCCAAAAUUUGUUUUCCAUUCUUCUCUUUUCUCUCACAUCCCAUAUCCAGUUUGUUAGCAAAUCUGGUCAGUUUGACUUUGAAAUUUAUGCAGUACCUCAGAAGGUGACUUUAUUUGGAGUAGGGCCUUUACAGAGGUAAUCAAGUUAAAAUGAGGCUGGCUAGGGGACUUCCCUGGUGGUCCAGUGGCUAAGACUCUGCACUCCCAACGCAGGGGGCCCUGGUUCGAUCCCUGGUCAGGGAACUAGAUCCCACAUGCCACAACUAAGAGUUCGCAUGCCACAAUGGAAAGAUCCCACGUGCCACAGCUAAGACUUGGCACAGCCAAAUAAAUAAAUAAAUAUAUUUUUUUAAAUGAGGCUGGCUAGUGUGGGACCUCAUCCAAUCCGACUGGUGUCCUCAUCAGAAGAGAUUAGGACACACAAUGAGACACCAGGAUUAUGUGCGUGCAUGUGGAAAGACUGUGUGAGGACACAGUGGGAAGGUGCCGGGCCAUUCGAGAGCCAACGAGAGAGGCCUCAGGAGAAACCAGACCUGCUGAUGCCUCGAUCUCGGACUUCUGGCUUCCAGAACUGUGUUUCUCCAAAAGAAAGGUGAACAGAUGUGCAUCAAAAGCCUGUGUUCCACGACAGGAGAAGCCACUGCAAUGAGAAGCCCGCGCUCCGCAACGAGAAGCCUGUGUUCCGCAACAGGAGAAGCCACCGCAAUGAGAAGCCCACGCACCACAAACACCCAAUGCAGCCAAAAAUAAAUACAUAAAUAAAUAAAGUUAA